This 401-nucleotide ribosomal RNA is filed under the name uncultured bacterium. RNAcentral's name for it is "partial 16S ribosomal RNA". It matches the Rfam family "Archaeal small subunit ribosomal RNA", at positions 473 to 873 of the family's 1478-position model. The record is from RNAcentral.
ACACCGGCGGCCCGAGUGGUGAUCGUGAUUAUUGGGUCUAAAGGGUCCGUAGCCGGUUUGGUCAGCCCUCCGGGAAAUCUGAUAGCUCAACUAUUAGGCUUUCGGGGGAUACUGCCAGACUUGGAACCGGGAGAGGUAAGAGGUACUACAGGGGUAGGAGUGAAAUCUUGUAAUCCCUGUGGGACCACCUGUGGCGAAGGCGUCUUACCAGAACGGGUUCGACGGUGAGGGACGAAAGCUGGGGGCACGAACCGGAUUAGAUACCCGGGUAGUCCCAGCCGUAAACGAUGCUCGCUAGGUGUCAGGCAUGGCGCGACCGUGUCUGGUGCCGCAGGGAAGCCGUGAAGCGAGCCACCUGGGAAGUACGGCCGCAAGGCUGAAACUUAAAGGAAUUGGCGGGG